Arthromyces matolae is the source of this 92-nucleotide non-coding RNA. The record is from the annotation of a GenBank genome assembly. Lineage: Eukaryota; Fungi; Basidiomycota; Agaricomycetes; Agaricales; Lyophyllaceae.
GCCAAUGUAGCUCAAUGAAAGAGCAUCGCCCCUCGUAUUUUCCUCGCACUCUGCUAAAGGCGAAGAUGUAGGUUCGAAUCCUACCAUUGGUA